UGGAUCAUUGCCACCAUUUUAGUCAGUGCUCUGUUGGUGGCAGUGGGACUGUAUCACUUUGGCAAAGGUUACUGGAAGAGAGAUGCCAGUGCAGUGAAUACAGACAUAGCAACGUAUGCUGUUGUAAGAAAAAACAGAAAGACUGAAGAAGCAGGAACCAGCAGAGAGAUGUCCUCAGGAAGUCCUUGCCAACCCAUCGCAGUGGAUCCCUUCUAUUCUGUAAUACAGUAGGUUGCAGAGAGAAAGCUGUCUAAAGACAUAAUCACAUCUAUGUGAGAAUGAAAACAAAUAAGUAACCCAGUUUUAUCACGCAUUGUUUUUGUUAUUAAUCAUGUUGUACAUUGUCAUCUGGGUUUGGUGUACGUGUCUAUAAACUGUUAUAGGUUUUCUUUUUUCCGUCAGAUACAGCUAGUUGCCAUUCCCGCGUGGUUAUAAAUACAUAUAUAGACUGAACCAAGCACAGACACCUGCCUCUUAUUUAGAAGUUGAACUUUAACCAAUGCAUUUGAUCUUCUUUCUGUUUUUACACAUGUAUGAAUGCUGUUACAAUAAAAGAGCUGCUGCAGCUUUCAAAGACACCCACUUUGGUCAACCGCUAAUGUCAAAGUAUCACAUUACUU
This is a long non-coding RNA of Oreochromis aureus, 620 nucleotides long. RefSeq lists it as uncharacterized. The record is from RefSeq and is a predicted model, not a curated record. NCBI's taxonomy places the organism in Eukaryota, Metazoa, Chordata, Actinopteri, Cichliformes, Cichlidae. The transcript is spliced from 4 exons.